Molecule: long non-coding RNA, 686 nt
Filed under: Arachis ipaensis
Lineage: Eukaryota; Viridiplantae; Streptophyta; Magnoliopsida; Fabales; Fabaceae
Description: long non-coding RNA (AIPA_LNC000506)
Source: RNAcentral
AAUAUAUGAUCCUCCUCUAUAUAUAUAUCCCCACAUACCAAUCUCAACAUGCAUCAAUUAUCUUGUAUUCAUAGUUUCUUUGUUGUGAUUUGUGAAACAGAGUAUCCAACAUGUCUUUUACACCAUAUCAACUCUAUGAAUGCUCAAGGUCCGGAGGAAGAUAUGAAAGAACCCUUGAGGAUGAGAACUGCGCCGUCGACACGGCCGAGGACGGCCUUUUCAGCUACCACCACCGUCGCCACCAGCCCCAUACUCGCAAGCGAGUAGUCGAAGUGGUAGAGUACCAGAGGACACCGGAAUAUGGCACUCAUGAAGUGAUCUAUAAAGGAGUUGAAACUGACCCAACUUGCCAACAACAAAGGAUAGGGCAUGGACAUUUUGGCCACUAAAAUUGUUCAAUUAUAACGGAAUAUUCACAUGAAGACAUCUUUAUCUUAAAAAAAAAAAUAAUUUGGUAAUUUGCUAGGCAGGAACUAUAAUAAAUAAUACAAAUAUAUGUAUUGGUGUGGUGUGUGCUUGUACUAAUUAAUAAAUUCCUGCUUGCAUUGGCUUGAUCUUAUAUGUAAUCAUCUUAUUAAUAAAGCUUAAUUUAUUUGCAGUAUACUACUUCUGAUGAAGACAACUUUUUUUUUUAGAAGAAGGAAAUUAAAUCUGGAUUUUUUUAUUAACACAUUAUUUAAUUAUUA